This 253-nucleotide ribosomal RNA is filed under the name uncultured bacterium. RNAcentral describes it as "partial 16S ribosomal RNA". It matches the Rfam family "Bacterial small subunit ribosomal RNA", at positions 524 to 776 of the family's 1533-position model. The record is from RNAcentral.
GACAGAGGGUGCAACCGUUGUUCGGAAUUACUGGGCGUAAAGCGUGUGUAGGCUGCUACAUAAGUCGGAUGUGAAAGCCCCGGGCUCAACCCGGGAAGUGCACUCGAUACUGCGUAGCUUGAGUCUCGGAGAGGUUGGUGGAAUUCUCGGUGUAGAGGUGAAAUUCGUAGAUAUCGAGAGGAACACCGGUGGCGAAGGCGGCCAACUGGACGAAGACUGACGCUGAGACACGAAAGCGUGGGGAGCAAACAGG